CCUACGGGAGACAGCAGUAGGGAAUUUUCGUCAAUGGGCGCAAGCCUGAACGAGCAAUGCCGCGUGAACGAGGAAGGUCUUCGGAUCGUAAAGUUCUGUUGACGGGGAAAAAGAGCGGAGAGAGGAAAUGAACUCCGAUUGAUAUUACGCUUCGAGGAAGUCACGGCUAACUACGUGCAAGCAGCCGCGGUAAUACGUAGGUGGCGAGCGUUAUCCGGAAUGAUUGGGCUUAAAGGGUGUGUGGGCGGCCUGCUAAGUCUGGAGGGAAAGGUACCGGCUCAACCGGUACAGGCUCUGGAAACUGGCGGGCUAGAGAGCAGGAGAGGGCGGUGGAACUCCAUGUGUAGCGGUAAAAUGCGUAGAUAUAUGGAAGAACACCAGUGGCGAAGGCGGCCGCCUGGCCUGUUGACUGACGCUGAGGCACGAAAGCGUGGGGAGCAAAUAGGAUUAGAUACCCUUGUAGUC
RNAcentral lists this ribosomal RNA (465 nucleotides) under uncultured bacterium. RNAcentral describes it as "partial 16S ribosomal RNA". It matches the Rfam family "Bacterial small subunit ribosomal RNA", at positions 338 to 795 of the family's 1533-position model. The record is from RNAcentral.